This 255-nucleotide ribosomal RNA is filed under the name uncultured bacterium. RNAcentral describes it as "partial 16S ribosomal RNA". It matches the Rfam family "Bacterial small subunit ribosomal RNA", at positions 524 to 776 of the family's 1533-position model. The record is from RNAcentral.
UACGUAGGGGGGCAAGCGUUGUCCGGAUUUAUUGGGCGUAAAGAGCGUGUAGGCGGCCAGAUAGGUCCGUUGUGAAAACUGGAGGCUUAACCUCCAGCUGUCGAUGGAAACCAUCUGGCUAGAGUCCGGAAGAGGAGAGUGGAAUUCCUGGGUGUAGCGGUGAAAUGCGCAGAUAUCAGGAAGAACACCCGUGGCGAAGGCGGCUCUCUGGGACGGUACUGACGCUGAGACGCGAAAGCGUGGGGAGCGAACAGG